RNAcentral lists this ribosomal RNA (487 nucleotides) under uncultured bacterium. RNAcentral's name for it is "SSU rRNA". It matches the Rfam family "Bacterial small subunit ribosomal RNA", at positions 26 to 518 of the family's 1533-position model. The record is from RNAcentral.
AGGACGAACGCUGGCGGCGUGCUUAACACAUGCAAGUGGAGCGACGAACCGGGGCUUGCCCCGGGGCAGAGCCGCGAACGGGUGAGUAACACGUGGGUAACCCACCUCGAUGAUUGGGACAACCCGGGGAAACUCGGGCUAAAUACCAAAUGUGCUCGUAGACCAUGAGGUCCAUGAGUAAAGAUAGCUUCGGCCUUCGCAUCGAGACGGGCCCGCGGCCCAUUAGCUUGUUGGUGAGGUAACGGCUCACCAAGGCGACGAUGGGUAGCUGGUCUGAGAGGACGAUCAGCCACACUGGGACUGAGACACGGCCCAGACUCCUACGGGAGGCAGCAGUGGGGAAUCUUGCGCAAUGCGCGAAAGCGUGACGCAGCAACGCCGCGUGGAGGAAGACGGUCUUCGGGUUGUAAACCUCUUUCAGUAGGGACGAAGCGCAAGUGACGGUACCUACAGAAGAAGCACCGGCCAACUACGUGCCAGCAGCCGC